GGCUAACUCUGUGCCAGCAGCCGCGGUAAUACAGAGGUCUCAAGCGUUGUUCGGAUUCAUUGGGCGUAAAGGGUGCGUAGGCGGCGGGGCAAGUCAGGUGUGAAAUCUCGGGGCUCAACUCCGAAACUGCACUUGAUACUGCCUUGCUAGAGUAUUGGAGAGGAGAUUGGAAUUUACGGUGUAGCAGUGAAAUGCGUAGAUAUCGUAAGGAAGACCAGUGGCGAAGGCGAAUCUCUGGACAAUUACUGACGCUGAGGCACGAAGGCCAGGGGAGCAAACGGGAUUAGAUACCCCGGUAGUCCUGGCAGUAAACGGUGCAUGUUUGGUGUGGGAGGAUUCGACCCCUUCUGUGCCGGAGCUAACGCGUUAAACAUGCCGCCUGGGGAGUACGGUCGCAAGAUUAAAACUCAAAGAAAUUGACGGGGGCCCGCACAAGCGGUGGAGUAUGUGGCUUAAUUCGAUGCAACGCGAAGAACCUUACCUAGCCUUGACAUGCAUCUCUAAGUCGGUGAAAGCCGGCGAGUGUAGCAAUACACAAUUUGCACAGGUGCUGCA
This 555-nucleotide ribosomal RNA is filed under the name uncultured Verrucomicrobiota bacterium. RNAcentral's name for it is "bacterial SSU rRNA". It matches the Rfam family "Bacterial small subunit ribosomal RNA", at positions 495 to 1045 of the family's 1533-position model. The record is from RNAcentral. Lineage: Bacteria; Pseudomonadati; Verrucomicrobiota.